RNAcentral lists this ribosomal RNA (257 nucleotides) under uncultured bacterium. RNAcentral's name for it is "partial 16S ribosomal RNA". It matches the Rfam family "Bacterial small subunit ribosomal RNA", at positions 793 to 1055 of the family's 1533-position model. The record is from RNAcentral.
GUCCACGCUGUAACGAUGGAUACUAGGUGUGCGGGACUGACCCCUGCGUGCCGCAGUUAACACAAUAAGUAUCCCACCUGGGAGUACGAUCGCAAGGUUGAACUCAAAGGAAUUGACGGGGCCCGCACAAGCGGCGGAGCAUGCGGAUUAAUUCGAUGCAACGCGAAGAACCUUACCUGGGCUUGACAUGUUCCCGACAGCCGUAGAGAUGCGGCCUCCCUUCGGGGCGGGUUUCACAGGUGGUGCAUGGUCGUCGU